GAUGAACGCUGGCGGCGUGCUUAACACAUGCAAGUCGAACGGAAAGACUCCUGCUUUCAUGGUUACUCGAUUGGCGAACGGGUGAGUAACACGUGUGUGAUCUGCCCUGCUCUUCGUGGUAAGCCUUGGGAACUCGGGCUAAUAUCGGAUAUAACAAUGUUUUCGAUGCCGUUCUGUAAUGUUUUUCGGUUUUGGCUUAGCUCGAAGCUGAUCAGCUGCUUGGUUAGGUAAUGGCCUACCAAGGCGUCUACGGGUAGCCGGCCUGAGAGGGUGUACGGGGACAAUGGGACUGAGAGACGGAGCAGAAGCGUACGGGAGGCAGAAGUGGGGAACCUUGCACAGCGGGCGCAAGCGUGAUGCAGAGAUGCUGCGUGGGGGAAGCCGGCCUACAGGUUGUAAACAACUUUCGAUAGGGCCGAAGCGCAAGUGACGGUACCUGGAGAAGAAGCAACGGCUAACUACGUG
Molecule: ribosomal RNA, 465 nt
Filed under: uncultured bacterium
Lineage: Bacteria
Description: partial 16S ribosomal RNA
Rfam family: Bacterial small subunit ribosomal RNA
Source: RNAcentral